This is a non-coding RNA of Hippopotamus amphibius kiboko, 381 nucleotides long. NCBI's taxonomy places the organism in Eukaryota, Metazoa, Chordata, Mammalia, Artiodactyla, Hippopotamidae. The record is from the annotation of a RefSeq genome assembly.
AUGAGUCUGUGGGGUCUUCUCCUCUGCCUGUUGACAGCUCCCCAAGGUGUGCUGUCUGACGUGACACUGCAGGAGUCGGGCCCAGGACUGGUGAAGCCCUCGCAGACCCUCACCCUCACCUGUGCUGUCUCUAGAGUCUCCAUCACAACCAGUUAUUAUGGCUUCAGCUGGAUCCUCCAGGCCUCGAGGAAGGGACUCGAGUGGAUGAGGGGCAUAGAUUAUGAUGGUGACAAGUACUACAGCCCGUCCCUCAAGAGCCGCACCUCCAUCUCCAGAGACACGUCCAAGAACCAGAUCUCCCUGCAGCUGAGCUCUGUGACCCCCGAGGACACGGCCGUGUAUUACUGUGCAAGCUGCACAAUGACAUUUGGCAACGAUUGA